Molecule: ribosomal RNA, 87 nt
Filed under: uncultured bacterium
Lineage: Bacteria
Description: partial 16S ribosomal RNA
Source: RNAcentral
CUCCUUUCGACCGAGAUGAAUGUCUGUCGACCUAAUACGUCGACAGAGUGACAGUAUCGAGGGAAGCAGCCCCGGCUAACUCCGUGC